UACGACUACAUAUCAGGCAUAUCAAUAAGCGGAGGAAAAGAAACUAACUAGGAUUCCCUCAGUAACGGCGAGUGAAGCGGGAAGAGCUCAAAUUUGAAAUCUUCAAGGUUUUACCUUGACGAAUUGUAGUUUAAAGAAAUGUUUUCUGUUGGAGUUUCGGUAAAAGUUCUUUGGAAUAGGACAUCAUAGAGGGUGAGAAUCCCGUAUUUGACCAUUACUUCCAGCGUUGUGAUGCACUUUCAAAGAGUCGGAUUGUUUGGGAAUGCAGUCCAAAAUGGGUGGUAAAUUUCAUCUAAAGCUAAAUAUUGGCGAGAGACCGAUAGCGAACAAGUACCGUGAGGGAAAGAUGAAAAGAACUUUGAAAAGAGAGUUAAACAGUACGUGAAAUUGUCAAAAGGGAAGCGUUUGACACCAGUGUUGUUUCUCUCGAAAAUCAAUUAAAAAUGACCGGAUUUUGUGUUGUAUUGACUUUAUCAGCUUUCUGCACUUUUUUCUUGUCUUUUUUAAUGCACUUUUCGUUUAACAAGUCAGCAUCAGUUUCUUUUGUUGUAAAAGAGUCAUUGGAAGGUGGCUUUCUUUUCGGAGAAAGUGUUUAUAGCCUUUGACUCCUGCAAUCGGAGAGACUGAGGUCUGCAGCGUAGAUCCUUUGGGAUUAGAUGCAUUUGUGCUAAGUUAUAGCUUUUCAUAGACAACAUUGUUGACUAUGAUUAGUCAUUGUAGCUUACUCGCUUAUGUAAUUUUACCUACGCUUAGGAUGUUGACGCGCGUGUGUGCGUG
This 777-nucleotide ribosomal RNA is filed under the name uncultured Neocallimastigales. RNAcentral's name for it is "partial large subunit ribosomal RNA". It matches the Rfam family "Eukaryotic large subunit ribosomal RNA", at positions 24 to 637 of the family's 3401-position model. Lineage: Eukaryota; Fungi; Neocallimastigomycota; Neocallimastigomycetes; Neocallimastigales. The record is from RNAcentral.